GCUUUAACAAAACACACUCCACACGAAAUUUUAGUUCCAGAAAAAAAUCCUUCCGUUUGUUCACCCGCCACUAACAAGCAAAUGGCUAGCUGGGGUACUUUUUAAGGCACAAUUUUGUAUGUGAUGAGGUAGUAAGCAUAUUUUUUGGGAGGAAGGUGCCGAAUAAUCAUCUUUGAGCAUGACGGCAGUAAUUCACGAGUUACUGUCCUCCGUUAUGGGGGUGUUAGUUGAAAGUGUCGUGUCGGAGUUGAGCAAACAUCUCUCUGACUUCACGACUGUCUUAUCUGAGGAGUGGAAGCGCAACAAGGGGACGGCAGUGAACAAAAACCGACUUAAACAGGCGAAUCAAGCCAAAACUAAGGAGUUUGCUGAUUUCAUGGAGCUGUUGAGUAAAGCCACAGUAGAGACGAUGGUGAAACUGAUUCAUGAUCACAUCUCAGCUCAAGUACCGGAAGCUACAGCAAAGUCUCAGCUCUCAAAACAAGACAAACUAAAUGAGGGUCAAGCAGCCACAUCUGAGUCUGAAAAUAAUGUGCUUCUUGAGUCUGAACAGAACAAGGAUUAUGAAAUGGAAUCAGAACAUCAUGAAAACUCUGGACAAGCAGCAAAUCAGUACCAACAGCUGUCAUCUGCACCCACAGAUAUUCUGGCAGGCAGUUUAAGUUUGAGUGAAAGCCAGCCUUCCACAAGCACGAACGUAGCUGCUGAGGAGAGACAUGAGCCUUUAAUUUGUGAGUCCUGUGGAGUAUCGUUCAAUGACAUGGCCCUGUUAAACAUUCACAAUGCUUUACACAAAGAAAGACCUUUCAAUUGUUUGACAUGUGGGAAUACUUUCAAAAUGAUGAAAUGCUUGAUGAAACACCAGAGAUUUCACAUGAGUCCGGAUUUGAGUAUUGAGUUCGAAGCCACUCUGAAUGAAGAAGAAUUCAUUGUGCAACUUGAAACCUGUGAUACUGUCAAUACAUCACUGGAAACACUAGAGGUCACCACUCAAGGUAAGACAUGAUUUCAAAUGCAGCUUAAAGGGAUAGUUCACCCAAAAAUGAAAAUUACCCCA
Molecule: long non-coding RNA, 1057 nt
Organism: Sinocyclocheilus anshuiensis
Lineage: Eukaryota; Metazoa; Chordata; Actinopteri; Cypriniformes; Cyprinidae
Source: Ensembl